UUCCGGGUUACAUUUCUAGUAAUAAGUGAAUAGUUAUAUCAGAAAGAAACAAUUGCUUGCCUUUUUAUAAUAUAUAUGAUAUUUGUGGAAGAGAUGCAACAAGUGAGAAAAUUUCAUACGUAUCAACGCUUCCAGUUAAAACGAAGGAUCGAAAUUUUCAUCUUCAAUGCCCAUCUUUGGCAGGAGAAUAUUACACAUUGCCACGGUGAGAAGCGAGGAACGCGUUAACGGACCUGUGCGUCGAAUUGGAAAGAGGCUGGAAGAGGCUGAAAGAGGCUGGAAGAGCGAAACGCGAAUCUAAUGCGAGUCAUUCCGCGUGGUUCUCCUGGCUGCGCAUGGAAGAAAGCGGAGG
Eufriesea mexicana is the source of this 352-nucleotide long non-coding RNA. RefSeq lists it as uncharacterized. The transcript is spliced from 3 exons. The record is from RefSeq and is a predicted model, not a curated record. NCBI's taxonomy places the organism in Eukaryota, Metazoa, Arthropoda, Insecta, Hymenoptera, Apidae.